Long non-coding RNA from Phasianus colchicus (ring-necked pheasant), 1843 nucleotides. The record is from Ensembl. Lineage: Eukaryota; Metazoa; Chordata; Aves; Galliformes; Phasianidae.
UGAUGGUUAAGUACCUGAAAAGAAUCUUUACAUCAUACACUGAAAUGUGCCCAGUAUUUUAAAAAUGUCUAUUUAUAUGCACAUAAUUUGAUGUCUAUGCAUGAGAAUCAGAGAAUAGGUACAUUUGUUUUGUGGUACAAUAUGUCAAGGAUGCAUUCAGAAGUGAUUUCUUUCUUUCCUUCACUAAGGGUUUAUACUGCAGUUGUGUCUAAUGUAUUGUGAGUUACUAUUUAACAAUCACUGCCAAUACCCUUUCAUUGAUUCUGCUUUAGCUAGUGCAAUCAGCUGUUGUUGCUUUUGCUGCUCCCAUGGAUAUUAUAAAGACCUUUGUCUGUUUUAGAUAUCUAAGUGGUGGGGAAAUGUGUGGUUUGGGUUUUUUUUUUUUCCAGCAGUUAUUGAGAUUUGUUUCUGCACAUAUAUAGCAUUUGGCCUCACAGAAUUUCUUCCUUUGCUAGUCAAGACAUUGCUUACAAAUACAGAAAAAUUUAAUGAGAACAGAAUAACUUAGAUUUUCCUGCCGCAGAAUAAAUGUUCUCUAAUAUGUUUUCAUGUUUUUGUAAGGCUGCAAAAAUAAAGGUGAAGAUAAUUCCUGUUGGCUCAUUUUCUAUUUAUUUUUCAGUCAGGAAAGAUUCCCUCCACUCUUGAACUGGACUACAGAGUCAGCAAGCAGUGGGAUCCUGUGCAGUACUGGGAAGAAGUCAUCUCUCUGGAGACUGCCACUAGCUAUCCAAUAGGAAGGAAGACUGCUUUCUUUAACAAGAUUAAAAACUCUCUGCUGUCAUACGCCCUAACUGAAUCAUCUCAAACUGGAGCCGCACGCAGGAAGAUUGCUUUGUACCACAUUUCCGACUCAGCCCAAACAUUGCCGUACGCUGCUCUUUCACCUUCCUGUGGACAUUGCAGAGCUUCAGUUGGCCUGAAGCUUUGGUGGACAAAAGUUACACAACAGGAAACAAACAAGAAAUGGAGCCAAACGCAACAAACAAACCCCCAGCUGAAUGGAACAAGGAGAAAGAAGAAGAGCUCUGUAAAUCUUUCCGUGAACUGAAGCCCUGUGCUGACAUCUUCUCUUCUCAUCAUGACCCAGUAUUGUACAGAAGAUCCCAGCAUCUGCUGGAGUGACAGGCACCAAGAUGAAAUGUCUAUGUGGUACAGCACUAGAGGAAUUUUCUUUGCUUCUGUGUCUGCACGCAUCUGCUGAAUGUGAUUAUAUUUCUGCUUGGAAAAGCCUGGGCAUCCAUCCCUAAAGUAACAAAGAAAAGAAUCACUGGAGAAAUAUUACAUGAAUAUGAAGAAGGCUGAGGUGUCUCAACCAUACGAGGUGCUGACAAGGAAAACCAGAGGCUUUUGAAAGAACAGAGAAAUGGCAUGAAAGAAUUUCUGCCUGCUGUGUCAUGGGUGUCUUUCUAAAAAAGCUAAAGCAUUCCCAUAAGAAAAGGCUCAGGGAGACAUCUGCAGGUGCAAGACACAGUCCUAAGGGAACUGAUUAGCAUUAGAUGCAGUUAAAGAAAUUAGGUUGUGUUUCUCUUAUUGGAAGUGAAAUGUUAAUACCAAGUCUCAAGUAGAAAGACAGGGAAUUCGCCUGCUUGUAGGCUUCAAAACUCAAGAGAUUUAACAGCUGGGGAACAAGGGCAAGGCUGACUGUCAAGGCAGCAGGACUCAACUGAGAGUUGAAGGGAAUGGAGGUCUGAGAUCUUUUUAGUUCAUUCAGUUGUGCCUGCUGAAGAUAUUUCAGCAACUGAACAGCCUGUAGAACAGCCCUGAGUACAAAUGUGCGUAAGUCUUUUGAUUUUUGUGGAAACGUUCAUGUGAAUAAACUCACUCAUACACUUGAUUGGAUGCA